Molecule: ribosomal RNA, 406 nt
Filed under: uncultured bacterium
Lineage: Bacteria
Description: partial 16S ribosomal RNA
Rfam family: Bacterial small subunit ribosomal RNA
Source: RNAcentral
AUUGAACGCUGGCGGCAGGCCUAACACAUGCAAGUCGAACGAGUGGCGGACGGGUGAGUAAUGUCUGGGAAACUGCCUGAUGGCGGGGGAUAACUACUGGAAACGGUAGCUAAUACCGCAUACCAUCGGAUGUGCCCAGAUGGGAUUAGCUCGUAGGUGGGGUAAAGGCUCCCCUAGGCGACGAUCCAUAGCUGGUCUGCGCGGAUGACCGGUAACUCUGGAACUGAGAAACGGUCCAGAAUCCUACGCGAGGCAGCAGUGGGGAAUAUUGCACAAAGGGCGCAAGCCUGAUGCAGCCAUGCCGCGUGUAUGAAGAAGGCCUUCGGGUUGUAAAGUACUUUCAGCGGGGAGGCGUUACCCGCAGAAGAAGCACCGGCUAACUCCGUGCCAGCAGCCGCGGUAAUAC